RNAcentral lists this long non-coding RNA (222 nucleotides) under Elaeis guineensis (African oil palm). RNAcentral's name for it is "long non-coding RNA (EGUI_LNC032835)". The record is from RNAcentral. Lineage: Eukaryota; Viridiplantae; Streptophyta; Magnoliopsida; Arecales; Arecaceae.
CUUGUUUAUUCUAUGUGUUGAUGCUCUCUCUCACUGUCUCCAAGGAGUGGUCCAGCAGACGGAGCUUGAGCCCCACUGGCCUACCCCUGGGAGGUUGUCUUUGUCACACCUCUUUUUUACAGAUAACUACCUGCUCAUUGGUCGGGCCUCACCAUAAAAUGUGAGGUACUUUGCGACUAUUAUAGAGGCCUAUUGCAGGGCAUCUGGCUAGUUGGUGAACCU